Molecule: unclassified non-coding RNA, 229 nt
Filed under: Hevea brasiliensis (rubber tree)
Lineage: Eukaryota; Viridiplantae; Streptophyta; Magnoliopsida; Malpighiales; Euphorbiaceae
Source: RNAcentral
GUUUGAAGGUAUGGAGUUGGGUCAGCGACUAGGCUUAGGGACGGACUUUGACCUGAUUUUCUGUAGUUGAGUGUUGUCGCACUUUUAUCUCAGGGACAGUAUUGUGCUUUCUUCACUCAGAGUGCUGCUUGAACAUGGGCUCUAUAAUUCGGUAUCAUAAUCUGUUUGAGACUAGACGACUAGUAUGUCUAUUGGGAGUGAUUUUUGGCCUUGCUUUGAUGAUUCAGUA